GCCGGGUACAGUGGUGCAUGCCUGUAAUCCCAGUGGUUCAGGAGGCUGAGGCAGGAAGAUUUCUAGUUGAAAGCCAGCCUCAG
Molecule: small RNA, 83 nt
Filed under: Marmota monax (woodchuck)
Lineage: Eukaryota; Metazoa; Chordata; Mammalia; Rodentia; Sciuridae
Source: RNAcentral